Molecule: transfer RNA, 71 nt
Filed under: Phlebiopsis gigantea 11061_1 CR5-6
Lineage: Eukaryota; Fungi; Basidiomycota; Agaricomycetes; Polyporales; Phanerochaetaceae
Description: tRNA-Tyr (GTA) (tRNA-Tyr-GTA-3-1)
Rfam family: tRNA
About the family: Transfer RNA (tRNA) molecules are approximately 80 nucleotides in length. Their secondary structure includes four short double-helical elements and three loops (D, anti-codon, and T loops).
Source: RNAcentral
CCCCUGAUAGCUCAGUUGGAAGAGCGUGAGACUGUAAAUCUCAAGGUCACCUGUUAGCCAGGUUCAGGGGA